RNAcentral lists this ribosomal RNA (409 nucleotides) under Fusobacteriota bacterium. RNAcentral's name for it is "Fusobacteria bacterium partial 16S ribosomal RNA". It matches the Rfam family "Bacterial small subunit ribosomal RNA", at positions 355 to 776 of the family's 1533-position model. Lineage: Bacteria; Fusobacteriati; Fusobacteriota. The record is from RNAcentral.
UGGGGAAUAUUGCACAAUGGAGGGAACUCUGAUGCAGCAACGCCGCGUGCGGGAUGACGGCCUUCGGGUUGUAAACCGCUUUCAGCCAUGACGAAGCUUUUGUGACGGUAGUGGGGGAAGAAGCACCGGCUAACUACGUGCCAGCAGCCGCGGUGAUACGUAGGGUGCGAGCGUUGUCCGGAAUUAUUGGGCGUAAAGAGCUUGUAGGCGGUUUGUCGCGUCGAUAGUGCAAACUCAGUGCUUAACGCUGAGCCUGCUGUUGAUACGGGCAGACUAGAGGAAGGUAGGGGAGAAUGGAAUUCCCGGUGGAGCGGUGGAAUGCGCAGAUAUCGGGAGGAACACCGGUGGCGAAGGCGGUUCUCUGGGCCUUUCCUGACGCUGAGAAGCGAAAGCGUGGGGAGCGAACAGG